CAAAAACUGCAAGCCCCACUAACCUGAUGACGAUAUUUUCACACCUGCAAUAGCAAUAACCGUUGGCAUCAUCAUAAAAGAACAUACAAAUUAUGAAAGUACUUUCAAGUUUAUAGGCCAUGGACACAAGUAAAUGUCGGAACUGAAACAAAGAACUAUUCAUAGACCAACUAGAUGGCUGAAUAUUUUGAAACUAAGCUUCCAUUUAUUUUGCGAAAAAUAUUUUCUAUAUUUUCUAAUAUUUAGAGCACUUACAAAAUGAAUCAAUGAAAAAUAUUUUUCUAAUCAAAGGGAAAAUCAAGUUAUUUGUAAGAUUCAUUUUCUGAAUUUUGACAAUCUUAUUAAGAUGUGAAAACACUUAUACAUGUAU
Molecule: unclassified non-coding RNA, 370 nt
Filed under: Hevea brasiliensis (rubber tree)
Lineage: Eukaryota; Viridiplantae; Streptophyta; Magnoliopsida; Malpighiales; Euphorbiaceae
Source: RNAcentral